RNAcentral lists this transfer RNA (71 nucleotides) under Marmota monax (woodchuck). RNAcentral's name for it is "tRNA.Ala". The record is from RNAcentral. Lineage: Eukaryota; Metazoa; Chordata; Mammalia; Rodentia; Sciuridae.
GUGGUUGUGGCUCAGUGGUAGAGUGCUUGCCUAGCACAUGCGAGGCACUGGGUUCAAUCCUCAGCACCACA